GAUGAACGCUGGCGGCGUGCUUAACACAUGCAAGUCGAACGAUGAAGCCCAGCUUGCUGGGUGGAUUAGUGGCGAACGGGUGAGUAACACGUGAGUAACCUGCCCUUAACUCUGGGAUAAGCCUGGGAAACUGGGUCUAAUACCGGAUAGGAGCGCCUACCGCAUGGUGGGUGUUGGAAAGAUUUAUCGGUUUUGGAUGGACUCGCGGCCUAUCAGCUUGUUGGUGAGGUAAUGGCUCACCAAGGCGACGACGGGUAGCCGGCCUGAGAGGGUGACCGGCCACACUGGGACUGAGACACGGCCCAGACUCCUACGGGAGGCAGCAGUGGGGAAUAUUGCACAAUGGGCGAAAGCCUGAUGCAGCGACGCCGCGUGAGGGAUGACGGCCUUCGGGUUGUAAACCUCUUUCAGUAGGGAAGAAGCGAAAGUGACGGUACCUGCAGAAGAAGCACCGGCUAACCACGUG
RNAcentral lists this ribosomal RNA (466 nucleotides) under uncultured bacterium. Its description in RNAcentral is "partial 16S ribosomal RNA". It matches the Rfam family "Bacterial small subunit ribosomal RNA", at positions 28 to 507 of the family's 1533-position model. The record is from RNAcentral.